Molecule: ribosomal RNA, 497 nt
Filed under: uncultured bacterium
Lineage: Bacteria
Description: partial 16S ribosomal RNA
Rfam family: Bacterial small subunit ribosomal RNA
Source: RNAcentral
GAUGAACGCUGGCGGCGUGCCUAAUACAUGCAAGUCGAGCGAACGGACGAGAAGCUUGCUUCUCUGAUGUUAGCGGCGGACGGGUGAGUAACACGUGGAUAACCUACCUAUAAGACUGGGAUAACUUCGGGAAACCGGAGCUAAUACCGGAUGAUAUUUUGAACCGCAUGAUUCAAAAGUGAAAGACGGUCUUGCUGUCACUUAUAGAUGGAUCCGCGCUGCAUUAGCUAGUUGGUAAGGUAACGGCUUACCAAGGCAACGAUGCAUAGCCGACCUGAGAGGGUGAUCGGCCACACUGGAACUGAGACACGGUCCAGACUCCUACGGGAGGCAGCAGUAGGGAAUCUUCCGCAAUGGGCGAAAGCCUGACGGAGCAACGCCGCGUGAGUGAUGAAGGUCUUCGGAUCGUAAAACUCUGUUAUUAGGGAAGAACAUAUGUGUAAGUAACUGUGCACAUCUUGACGGUACCUAAUCAGAAAGCCACGGCUAACUACGUG